AACGCACAUUGCGCCCUAGGGUAUUCCUUAGGGCAUGCCUGUUCGAGCGUCAUUUCCACCCUCAAGCACUGCUUGGUGAUGGGCGCCUGUCCCGCCUCCGCGCGUGGACUCGCCUCAAAUUCAUUGGCGGCCGGUACGUUGGCUUCGAGCGCAGCACAUUUGCGAACCUUGGGGCCCUUCGUGCCUGGCUCCCAGAAGCGAACUCUCUGAAUUUGACCUCGGAUCAGGUAGGGAUACCCGCUGAACUUAA
Molecule: unclassified non-coding RNA, 250 nt
Filed under: uncultured Pleosporales
Lineage: Eukaryota; Fungi; Ascomycota; Dothideomycetes; Pleosporales
Description: sequence contains 5.8S rRNA gene, ITS2, 28S rRNA gene
Rfam family: 5.8S ribosomal RNA (bases 1-52)
Source: RNAcentral